Molecule: ribosomal RNA, 314 nt
Filed under: uncultured Acetobacteraceae bacterium
Lineage: Bacteria; Pseudomonadati; Pseudomonadota; Alphaproteobacteria; Acetobacterales; Acetobacteraceae
Description: bacterial SSU rRNA
Rfam family: Bacterial small subunit ribosomal RNA
Source: RNAcentral
UGGCUCAGAACGAACGCUGGCGGCAUGCUUAACACAUGCAAGUCGCACGGGCAGGGCAACCUGUCAGUGGCGGACGGGUGAGUAACGCGUAGGUAUCUAUCCUCGGGUGGGGGACAACCACGGGAAACUGCGGCUAAUACCGCAUGAUGACUGAGGUCCAAAGGCGCAAGUCGCCUGGGGAGGAGCCUGCGUCCGAUUAGCUUGUUGGUGGGGUAAAGGCCUACCAAGGCUGCGAUCGGUAGCUGGUCUGAGAGGAUGAUCAGCCACACUGGGACUGAGACACGGCCCAGGAUCCUACGGGAGGCAGCAGUGGG